This is a long non-coding RNA of Cololabis saira (Pacific saury), 219 nucleotides long. RefSeq lists it as uncharacterized. The record is from RefSeq and is a predicted model, not a curated record. The transcript has 2 exons. NCBI's taxonomy places the organism in Eukaryota, Metazoa, Chordata, Actinopteri, Beloniformes, Belonidae.
GACAGUUAAAAUGAGGUUUUGCAUCGACAUUCACCCUCAUAAAAGGAUCAGUUCCCACAGUACGGACCCGGCAACUGCACAUGAGUCAGCGAUCUUCCAAGCAAUGCACCUGAAGCUGUUCAACGACACAUUCAGAAGACGCACGGUCCUUCCUUGAGCCAGCAAUAGUGCAUACAUUUUAUUUAUAUAUUUUAAGAAUAAAGUUGCCAUUUGUGAAAA